GAGACAGCAGUCCCGCGGUAAUACGAAGGUGGCAAGCGUUGUCCGGAAUUAUUGGGCGUAAAGGGCUCGCAGGCGGUUUCUUAAGUCUGAUGUGAAAGCCCCCGGCUCAACCGGGGAGGGUCAUUGGAAACUGGGAAACUUGAGUGCAGAAGAGGAGAGUGGAAUUCCACGUGUAGCGGUGAAAUGCGUAGAGAUGUGGAGGAACACCAGUGGCGAAGGCGACCCUCUGGUCUGUAACUGACGCUGAGGAGCGAAAGCGUGGGGAGCGAACAGGAUUAGAUACCCGCGUAGUCCCUGUCUCUUAUACA
Molecule: ribosomal RNA, 308 nt
Filed under: uncultured bacterium
Lineage: Bacteria
Description: partial 16S ribosomal RNA
Rfam family: Bacterial small subunit ribosomal RNA
Source: RNAcentral